RNAcentral lists this ribosomal RNA (429 nucleotides) under Bacteroidota bacterium. RNAcentral's name for it is "Bacteroidetes bacterium partial 16S ribosomal RNA". It matches the Rfam family "Bacterial small subunit ribosomal RNA", at positions 355 to 776 of the family's 1533-position model. The record is from RNAcentral. Lineage: Bacteria; Pseudomonadati; Bacteroidota.
UAGGGAAUCUUCCGCAAUGGACGCAAGUCUGACGGAGCAACGCCGCGUGAGUGAAGAAGGAUUUCGGUUCGUAAAACUCUGUUGUUAGAGAAGAACAGCGCAUAGAGUAACUGUUAUGCGUGUGACGGUAUCUAACCAGAAAGCCACGGCUAACUACGUGCCAGCAGCCGCGGUAAUACGUAGGUGGCAAGCGUUGUCCGGAUUUAUUGGGCGUAAAGCGAGCGCAGGCGGUCAAUUAAGUCUGAUGUGAAAGCCCCCGGCUCAACCGGGGAGGGUCAUUGGAAACUGGUUGACUUGAGUACAGAAGAGGAGAGUGGAAUUCCAUGUGUAGCGGUGAAAUGCGUAGAUAUAUGGGGGAAAACCAGUGGCGAAGGCGACUCUCUGGUCUGUAACUGACGCUGAGGCUCGAAAGCGUGGGUAGCAAACAGG